GACGAACGCUGGCGGCGUGCCUAAUACAUGCGAGUUGAGCGCUGAAGGUUGGUACUUGUACCAACUGGAUGAGCAGCGAACGGGUGAGUAACGCGUGGGGAAUCUGCCUUUGAGCGGGGGACAACAUUUGGAAACGAAUGCUAAUACCGCAUAAAAACUUUAAACACAAGUUUUAAGUUUGAAAGAUGCAAUUGCAUCACUCAAAGAUGAUCCCGCGUUGUAUUAGCUAGUUGGUGAGGUAAAGGCUCACCAAGGCGAUGAUACAUAGCCGACCUGAGAGGGUGAUCGGCCACAUUGGGACUGAGACACGGCCCAAACUCCUGCGGGAGGCAGCAGUAGGGAAUCUUCGGCAAUGGACGAAAGUCUGACAGAGCAACGCCGCGUGAGUGAAGGAGGUUUUCGGAUCGUAAAACUCUGCUGGUAGAGAAGAACGUUGGUGAGAGUGGAAAGCUCAUCAAGUGACGGUAACUACACAGAAAGGGACGGCUAACUACGUG
This 497-nucleotide ribosomal RNA is filed under the name uncultured bacterium. RNAcentral's name for it is "partial 16S ribosomal RNA". It matches the Rfam family "Bacterial small subunit ribosomal RNA", at positions 28 to 507 of the family's 1533-position model. The record is from RNAcentral.